Molecule: ribosomal RNA, 206 nt
Filed under: Archaeosporaceae sp.
Lineage: Eukaryota; Fungi; Glomeromycota; Glomeromycetes; Archaeosporales; Archaeosporaceae
Description: partial large subunit ribosomal RNA
Source: RNAcentral
AAACGAUUGAAGCCAGUCAUGCCGGUGGGAAAUCAGCUCAUAGGCUACUGUGAGUGCACUUUCUCGCAAGGCAGGUUAACAUCGGUUUCAGUUGCGUUAUAAUGAUAGUGGGAAGGUAGCUCCCUCGGGAGUGUUAUAGCCUGCUAUAGAUGGCGUGAUAGAGAUCGAGGAUUGCAGCGAAUGCCUUUAGGCUACGGGUCUGGUCU